Molecule: ribosomal RNA, 300 nt
Filed under: Triticum aestivum (bread wheat)
Lineage: Eukaryota; Viridiplantae; Streptophyta; Magnoliopsida; Poales; Poaceae
Description: partial small subunit ribosomal RNA
Source: RNAcentral
AUGAAAGGGUGGGGCGCGAACCUUGGGCGGGACCUCCGUCUCCGGAAGAAGGCUCUCCUUGACUCCAUUCAGGCCCUAGAUCUUCGGGCUGACUCGGUGGGCCUCUCUCCUGAUGAGUGUAUGCUGCGUUAUGAUUUCGAGGACCAACUUAUGGUCAUAUACACUGACGAGGAGGCUUAUUGGCACCUUCGGGGUACCCAAAAGUGGGUCCUCAAGGGGGACACGAACACCGCUUACUUCCAGGUGAUCGCCAAUGGUCGUAGGCGGCCGAUACGUCUCUGUUGUAUCUAUAAUUUUUGA